ACGGAAGGCAGCAGUGGGGAAUAUUGCACAAUGGGGGAAACCCUGAUGCAGCGACGCCGCGUGAGCGAUGAAGUAUUUCGGUAUGUAAAGCUCUAUCAGCAGGGAAGAUAAUGACGGUACCUGACUAAGAAGCUCCGGCUAAAUACGUGCCAGCAGCCGCGGUAAUACGUAUGGAGCAAGCGUUAUCCGGAUUUACUGGGUGUAAAGGGAGCGUAGGCGGUGAGGCAAGUCUGAUGUGAAAGCCCAGGGCUCAACCUUGGGACUGCAUUGGAAACUGUCUGACUAGAGUAUCGGAGGGGUAAGCGGAAUUCCUAGUGUAGCGGUGAAAUGCGUAGAUAUUAGGAGGAACACCGGUGGCGAAGGCGGCUUACUGGACGAUAACUGACGCUGAGGCUCGAAAGCGUGGGGAGCAAACAGGAUUAGAUACCCUGGUA
This 434-nucleotide ribosomal RNA is filed under the name uncultured Lachnospiraceae bacterium. RNAcentral describes it as "bacterial SSU rRNA". It matches the Rfam family "Bacterial small subunit ribosomal RNA", at positions 341 to 792 of the family's 1533-position model. The record is from RNAcentral. Lineage: Bacteria; Bacillati; Bacillota; Clostridia; Lachnospirales; Lachnospiraceae.